CACUUAUAGAUGGAUCCGCGCUGCAUUAGCUAGUUGGUAAGGUAACGGCUUACCAAGGCAACGAUGCAUAGCCGACCUGAGAGGGUGAUCGGCCACACUGGAACUGAGACACGGUCCAGACUCCUACGGGAGGCAGCAGUAGGGAAUCUUCCGCAAUGGGCGAAAGCCUGACGGAGCAACGCCGCGUGAGUGAUGAAGGUCUUCGGAUCGUAAAACUCUGUUAUUAGGGAAGAACAUAUGUGUAAGUAACUGUGCACAUCUUGACGGUACCUAAUCAGAAAGCCACGGCUAACUACGUGCCAGCAGCCGCGGUAAUACGUAGGUGGCAAGCGUUAUCCGGAAUUAUUGGGCGUAAAGCGCGCGUAGGCGGUUUUUUAAGUCUGAUGUGAAAGCCCACGGCUCAACCGUGGAGGGUCAUUGGAAACUGGAAAACUUGAGUGCAGAAGAGGAAAGUGGAAUUCCAUGUGUAGCGGUGAAAUGCGCAGAGAUAUGGAGGAACACCAGUGGCGAAGGCGACUUUCUGGUCUGUAACUGACGCUGAUGUGCGAAAGCGUGGGGAUCAAACAGGAUUAGAUACCCUGGUAGUCCACGCCGUAAACGA
Molecule: ribosomal RNA, 601 nt
Filed under: Staphylococcus aureus
Lineage: Bacteria; Bacillati; Bacillota; Bacilli; Caryophanales; Staphylococcaceae
Description: bacterial SSU rRNA
Rfam family: Bacterial small subunit ribosomal RNA
Source: RNAcentral